UACGGAGGGAGCGAGCGUUGUUCGGAAUUACUGGGCGUAAAGCGUGCGCAGGCGGCCUUGCAAGUCAGAAGUGAAAGCCCCGGGCUUAACCCGGGAAUUGCUUUUGAAACUGCUAGGCUCGAGUAUCGGAGAGGUUGGCGGAAUUCCCAGUGUAGAGGUGAAAUUCGUAGAUAUUGGGAGGAACACCAGUGGCGUAAGCGGCCAACUAGACGAUAACUGACGCUCAGGCACGAAAGUGUGGGGAUCAAACAGG
This 253-nucleotide ribosomal RNA is filed under the name uncultured bacterium. RNAcentral describes it as "partial 16S ribosomal RNA". It matches the Rfam family "Bacterial small subunit ribosomal RNA", at positions 524 to 776 of the family's 1533-position model. The record is from RNAcentral.